RNAcentral lists this ribosomal RNA (641 nucleotides) under Leifsonia sp. I13A-01628. RNAcentral's name for it is "bacterial SSU rRNA". It matches the Rfam family "Bacterial small subunit ribosomal RNA", at positions 93 to 748 of the family's 1533-position model. The record is from RNAcentral. Lineage: Bacteria; Bacillati; Actinomycetota; Actinomycetes; Micrococcales; Microbacteriaceae.
UAGUGGCGAACGGGUGAGUAACACGUGAGUAACCUGCCCUUGACUCUGGGAUAACCUCCGGAAACGGAAGCUAAUACCGGAUAUGACGCACGGAGGCAUCUCCUGUGCGUGGAAAGAAUUUCGGUCAAGGAUGGACUCGCGGCCUAUCAGGUAGUUGGUGAGGUAACGGCUCACCAAGCCUACGACGGGUAGCCGGCCUGAGAGGGUGACCGGCCACACUGGGACUGAGACACGGCCCAGACUCCUACGGGAGGCAGCAGUGGGGAAUAUUGCACAAUGGGCGAAAGCCUGAUGCAGCAACGCCGCGUGAGGGACGACGGCCUUCGGGUUGUAAACCUCUUUUAGUAGGGAAGAAGCGAAAGUGACGGUACCUGCAGAAAAAGCACCGGCUAACUACGUGCCAGCAGCCGCGGUAAUACGUAGGGUGCAAGCGUUGUCCGGAAUUAUUGGGCGUAAAGAGCUCGUAGGCGGUUUGUCGCGUCUGCUGUGAAAUCCCGAGGCUCAACCUCGGGUCUGCAGUGGGUACGGGCAGACUAGAGUGCGGUAGGGGAGAAUGGAAUUCCUGGUGUAGCGGUGGAAUGCGCAGAUAUCAGGAGGAACACCGAUGGCGAAGGCAGUUCUCUGGGCCGUAACUGACGCUG